AUUGGUCACAUUUUCUCCACUGAAUGCCUCAACGGGAGCUUCUUGGAAGUCAGUGGGGAUGAGCAUUUCAAAACAGGCAGAGAAACCUCAGGAGUCGACCUGUCAGCUGCAAGUCUCUGGUUCGAGAAACUGGGAAAACAUCCCAUACUUUUGCAAGAGGUCACGACCACAGUGGAGGAAAUUCUAAUUCCCUCCUUGACCAAGUCUCCUGCUGGUGUGGAAGCUCUUCGAGUCUAUCUUGUUCUGCCAGAACUCAUAGAUAUCCAGAUGGAGGAGAACAACU
Long non-coding RNA from Amblyraja radiata (thorny skate), 283 nucleotides. RefSeq lists it as uncharacterized. Lineage: Eukaryota; Metazoa; Chordata; Chondrichthyes; Rajiformes; Rajidae. The record is from RefSeq and is a predicted model, not a curated record. The transcript is spliced from 3 exons.